GCUUUGCUAUCUCAAUCGGUAGAGCGUAAGACUCUUACAUUCACUCCUCACAGGCUAGAGCGUCAGAUAAUAACCUCAAGGUUGGGGGUUCGACCCCCCCCCCUUAGAGCU
Non-coding RNA from Sphaerobolus stellatus SS14, 111 nucleotides. Lineage: Eukaryota; Fungi; Basidiomycota; Agaricomycetes; Geastrales; Sphaerobolaceae. The record is from the annotation of a GenBank genome assembly.